CCUACGGGAGGCAGCAGUAAGGAAUAUUGGUCAAUGGACGAAAGUCUGAACCAGCCAUGCCGCGUGAAGGAUUAAGGCCCUCUGGGUUGUAAACUUCUUUUAUCUGGGACGAAAAAAGGGUAUUCUUACUCACUUGACGGUACCAGAGGAAUAAGCACCGGCUAACUCCGUGCCAGCAGCCGCGGUAAUACGGAGGGUGCAAGCGUUAUCCGGAUUUACUGGGUUUAAAGGGUGCGUAGGUGGGUUUGUAAGUCAGUGGUGAAAUCUCCGAGCUUAACUCGGAAACUGCCAUUGAUACUAUAGAUCUUGAAUUAUCUGGAGGUAAGCGGAAUAUGUCAUGUAGCGGUGAAAUGCUUAGAUAUGACAUAGAACACCAAUUGCGAAGGCAGCUUACUACGGAUAUAUUGACACUGAGGCACGAAAGCGUGGGGAUCAAACAGGAUUAGAUACCCUGGUAGUCCACGCCCUAAACGAUGGAUACUCGACAUCAGCGAUACACUGUUGGUGUCUGAGCGAAAGCAUUAAGUAUCCCACCUGGGAAGUACGAUCGCAAGAUUGAAACUCAAAGGAAUUGACGGNUGAGACGNGCGACGACGACGACGAGGGAGGAGG
Molecule: ribosomal RNA, 612 nt
Filed under: uncultured bacterium
Lineage: Bacteria
Description: bacterial SSU rRNA
Rfam family: Bacterial small subunit ribosomal RNA
Source: RNAcentral